This 522-nucleotide ribosomal RNA is filed under the name uncultured bacterium. Its description in RNAcentral is "bacterial SSU rRNA". It matches the Rfam family "Bacterial small subunit ribosomal RNA", at positions 28 to 522 of the family's 1533-position model. The record is from RNAcentral.
GACGAACGCUGGCGGCGUGCCUAAUACAUGCAAGUCGAACGCUUUUUCUUUCACCGGAGCUUGCUCCACCGAAAGAAAAGGAGUGGCGAACGGGUGAGUAACACGUGGGUAACCUACCCUCCAGCGGGGGAUAACACUUGGAAACAGGUGCUAAUACCGCAUAAUAGAGAAAACCGCCUGGUUUUCUUUUGAAAGGCGCAAUUGCGUCACUGGAGGAUGGACCCGCGGUGCAUUAGCUAGUUGGUGAGGUAACGGCUCACCAAGGCAACGAUGCAUAGCCGACCUGAGAGGGUGAUCGGCCACAUUGGGACUGAGACACGGCCCAAACUCCUACGGGAGGCAGCAGUAGGGAAUCUUCGGCAAUGGACGCAAGUCUGACCGAGCAACGCCGCGUGAGUGAAGAAGGUUUUCGGAUCGUAAAACUCUGUUGUAAGAGAAGAACGUUGAUGAGAGUGGAAAGUUCAUCAAGUGACGGUAUCUUACCAGAAAGCCACGGCUAACUACGUGCCAGCAGCCGCAGUA